GCGGUUGUGGCGGAAUGGCAGACGCACCAGCUUGAGGGGCUGGCGGUUUCACGACCGUGGAGGUUCGAGUCCUCUCAGCCGCA
Molecule: transfer RNA, 83 nt
Filed under: Ectobacillus ponti
Lineage: Bacteria; Bacillati; Bacillota; Bacilli; Caryophanales; Bacillaceae
Rfam family: tRNA
About the family: Transfer RNA (tRNA) molecules are approximately 80 nucleotides in length. Their secondary structure includes four short double-helical elements and three loops (D, anti-codon, and T loops).
Source: Rfam by way of RNAcentral